Molecule: RNA transcript, 1394 nt
Organism: Beta vulgaris subsp. vulgaris (sugar beet)
Lineage: Eukaryota; Viridiplantae; Streptophyta; Magnoliopsida; Caryophyllales; Amaranthaceae
Gene name: exosome complex exonuclease RRP46 homolog
Exons: 9
Source: RefSeq, a predicted model, not a curated record
GCUGGCAUCCUACAAAAACCGGGUAAUUAAACCCUAAACUUCUCAAAAUGUCCCAAAUCUCAGUCGCUGCAAACAUCUAAACCCUAGCUAAAACCCUAAUAUCUCCGACAACUCUAUCCUUCAUUCAUUCACUCUUCUCUGCAAAUUAUUCUUCAAUUCUUCAAUUGCUCAACUCCAUUUUGCACUUCCCAACUUCUGAACUUCAGUUUUUCCAUCAAUUAGGCAACAAAGAAAACCUAAAAAUCAACCUUCGGAAAAGAAAGAAGAAAAAAAGUUCGAGAAAAAUGGAGGUCGACAGAGUAGAUGGGCGUACGCCAACCAUGUUGAGGCCGUUGGCAUGUUCUAUAAAUGUCCUCAAUCGUGCUCAUGGAUCCGCCAGUUGGUCUCAAGGGGAUACCAAGGUUCUAGCUGCAGUUUAUGGACCAAGAGCCGGGACUAAGAAGAAUGAAAACCCGGAGAAAGCUUCAGUUGAAGUUAUUUGGAAGCCAAAAACAGGGCAAGUUGGGAAAUUGGAGAGAGAGUACGAGAUGAUAUUGAAGAGAACAUUACAGAGCAUUUGUAUAUUGACAGUCAAUCCUAAUACCACCACUUCUAUAAUUGUUCAGGUUGUCAAUGAUGAUGGUGCUCUUCUUCCUUGUGCAAUUAAUGCUGCUUGUGCUGCACUUGUUGAUGCUGGAGUUCCUCUGAAGCAUCUGGCUGUUGCGAUAUGUUGCUGUUUAGCUGAAACAGGAUGUGUCAUAUUGGAUCCUACAAAACAAGAAGAGCAGGAAAUGAAGGCAUUUGUCUAUUUGGUUUUUCCCAAUUCCAUGUUGUCGGUUCUACAAGGUUCAAGCCAUACAGAUGAUGAACCAAUGGAACAUGGAAUCAUCACAUCUGUUACUCAUGGAGCAAUGUCAGGGUGCAUCAUUGUCCUUGUCUCUGCUUAAUUUCUGUUAAUAUUUUGAGCUGAAAUUAACAGAGACAAUGUUUGUGUGCGAGUAUGAAUUCAACAAUGGGCUUCAAUCAAUUUGUUGAAGAUUAUUUUGACUGUCUCAAGAUCGGACGUGCAGCAACGGCAAAACUCUCUGGUUUUCUAAGAAGUCGCCUGCAAAAUCGGCUUCCUAGUGACUUGCUUGGGGAUAAUUGAUUUUUGGUAAGGUAAACUCUGUAAUUUACAUCCUUAGGAGAUGAUUUGACUUUGGCAAAGUUUAGCUACGUCAUCUGGUGUACACUGUCCAAUUCCAUUAUGUAUGUAGUUGCCUCUCAUUGCCCAUUGGUAAUUUGCCACUCCAUUUUAUAAGGUAGACUUUGAACACUAAUAUGUUUUUAAAUUUGACUUGAUACACUAAUAUCUCCGAAUGUACAUUGUUAAAAUUUAAUUCUUCUUUUACUAAAAAUACUGCUUUACAAUAUUA